MicroRNA precursor from Panthera pardus (leopard), 80 nucleotides. Ensembl annotates it as microRNA 100. Its record names the gene MIR100. NCBI's taxonomy places the organism in Eukaryota, Metazoa, Chordata, Mammalia, Carnivora, Felidae. The record is from Ensembl.
CCUGUUGCCACAAACCCGUAGAUCCGAACUUGUGGUGAUAGUCCACACAAGCUUGUGUCUAUAGGUAUGUGUCUGUUAGG